AUUGAACGCUGGCGGCAUGCCUUACACAUGCAAGUCGAACGGCAGCACGGGGGCGAACCCUGGUGGCGAGUGGCGAACGGGUGAGUAAUACAUCGGAACGUGCCCAGUAGUGGGGGAUAGCCCGGCGAAAGCCGGAUUAAUACCGCAUAAGACCUACGGGUGAAAGCGGGGGAGUCGCAAGACCUCGCGCUAGUGGAGCGGCCGAUGUCAGAUUAGGUUGUUGGUGGGGUAAAGGCCUACCAAGCCGACGAUCUGUAGCUGGUCUGAGAGGACGACCAGCCACACUGGGACUGAGACACGGCCCAGACUCCUACGGGAGGCAGCAGUGGGGAAUUUUGGACAAUGGGCGCAAGCCUGAUCCAGCCAUGCCGCGUGCGGGAAGAAGGCCU
This 389-nucleotide ribosomal RNA is filed under the name uncultured bacterium. Its description in RNAcentral is "bacterial SSU rRNA". It matches the Rfam family "Bacterial small subunit ribosomal RNA", at positions 29 to 417 of the family's 1533-position model. The record is from RNAcentral.